Molecule: ribosomal RNA, 388 nt
Filed under: uncultured bacterium
Lineage: Bacteria
Description: bacterial SSU rRNA
Rfam family: Bacterial small subunit ribosomal RNA
Source: RNAcentral
AUUGAACGCUGGCGGCAUGCCUUACACAUGCAAGUCGAACGGUAGAGUAGCAAUACUCGAGAGUGGCGAACGGGUGAGUAACAUAUCGGAACGUGCCCAAUCGUGGGGGGAUAACGUAGAGAAAUUUACGCUAAUACCGCAUACGAUCUAAGGAUGAAAGCGGGGGAUCGCAAGACCUCGCGCGAUUGGAGCGGCUGAUAUCAGAUAGGUUGUUGGUGAGGUAAAAGCUCACCAAGCCGACGAUCUGUAGCUGGUUUGAGAGAACGACCAGCCACACUGGGACUGAGACACGGCCCAGACUCCUACGGGAGGGCAGCAGUGGGGGAAUUUUGGACAAUGGGCGAAAGCCUGAUCCAGCAAUGCCGCGUGCAGGAAGAAGGCCUUCGGU